Molecule: non-coding RNA, 1666 nt
Organism: Podarcis muralis (Common wall lizard)
Lineage: Eukaryota; Metazoa; Chordata; Lepidosauria; Squamata; Lacertidae
Source: RefSeq, a predicted model, not a curated record
GUGGCAAUGGAGGAACGGAGAGGGCAGAAGUCAUCUGUCGCCGCCUCAAAGUGGCCCGUCAGGUUUGUGGUCCGAACUGUCGGUUGGUGGAAGAGGCCUGCCUUUUGCACAUCCAUUAUGCCAGAAUCCUAAUAGCGAGCCAGGCUUCAAGGCGAUGGGACCAUGAGGCAGGAAGUUCCACUGACUCCUGUCCUGACACAUCAAGGGCAAAGACCUUCAGGUUCGGGGGCCAAAUGUGGCUUCUCGGGGCUCUCCCCAGACCACAUCCCAUGGCCGUACCCCUCACUGGCCCUGCUGAGUGUUUUUGCCUGACUGGAAUGUGUCAUCGAACCCUGAUCCUGCCUCUUGCUGGCCUGAUUGAGGGGAAAGGGUAGGCGAGUGUGUAGACCACAACUAGCCUGUGGUUCAAAGUUGCAAUUUUUAUAUUAAUGGCUCCACCCACGCUUGCCUCUGGCCCCACCCACAACUAGCAUGUGGCCCUUGGGAGGUUGCCCUGAGGGGAAGGCGGCCCUUGGGUUGAAAAAGAUUCCAGCCCCUUGACCACUGUGGCCACAUUUACAAUGAUACCACUUUAUAUGGUCAUGGCUUCCAUCAAAGAUUCCUGAGAACUGUAGUUUGUUAAGGGUGCUGAGAGACCCGUAUCUCCCUUCACACAGCGCUGCAAUUCACAGAAUUCCCUGGGAAGAAGGGUUGGCGAUUACACCCCUCUGGCAGUUGUAGCUCACCAGACAGGUCAUUCCGCAAAUGGGGUACUACUACCAAGAAGGCCCUGUCGCAGGCCAGCGCCAAUCGAUUGCAAUUCCAAUUUUGUGAUUAGACAUGAGAUGAAGCAAAACAGGAAAAAUGCAUUGGGUGCUGAAAGCAGACUCUUGUCGGGACAUGACACAGUCGGGGCACUAGCUGGCCACGAGAGGAAACUGAAUUUGUGGCUGAGUGUGAGAACAUCAGCGCCUGAGAAAAAUACGAAAGAGGGCUUCAUCCACGGGCCUGUUUGGUCUACUCAUUUAAGAGAGACUCGGCUAAAAAUGAAUCUCUUGUGAGGAAACCUUUUUUUUUUUUAGCUUCUGCUUCAGAUUGUGCUAGUGACACAUUGGGGAAACUAUGAAGCCAUCGCUAGUUUCAGAAGGGCUGGAAAAGCAUCAUGGACAUGGAAAAAGCGGUGCUUUUUGUUCCUGUGGCAGCAAAAUAGCUUCCACUCAUACAUGAUUAGAGGAUGACAACCCAGCGCCCACAGGCGCCCGGGCGCCCACCAACAGCUAUGGCACCUGCGAAAGGUCCCAAUGAAUACCUCCCUUCAGAAAUCCACAGGGGCCAAAUUGAGGGGGAGCAUGCCUGUCCCAUUUUGGUUUGGUCCCAUUUGUCUUUUACUGCUUUUAGAUGCGGCAGCCAUUUUGUGCAAUUAAUCACGUCCUGAACAACUGCCUCAAGUUUAUAUGCCAAAAUGGCAAACAUAUUGACUGGCAAUGGCUCUCCAGGAUUUCAGACAGGAAGUCUCACCCAGUGCUAACUGAAGGUGCCAUAUAUGAAGUCCAAGCUUUCCUACAGCUCUUGCCAAUGCACCUUCAAAUUUGGAUUCAAAAACUGGGACGGGUGAGGCCCCAAAUACACCAGGCCAGGCAUGCCGGUUAAUGGAAUUCUCAACAGAUAAAAGAUUUGACAUGGGAGA